ACACCUCGUAUGAGUAUUGCCCAAGCAGUACUUGAUUACGCUUGAUGUCUGAGGCUGCACAUUGUACUUGUAACUAUCAUUACUUGUUUGAGAUGUACUAAGUGGUGUGGUGUUGUUUUGUAGGUUACUGGAUGCUCUGGUCAGUGCAAGUUGAGGAAUGAAAUGGACCAGAAGAGCUCACUUCCAUUGUUGGCAUCAAAGCAGCUGUAAAGCUUAUUUAUUCAAAUGUAGAGGCUUUAAUUUGGAUUUACUUUAAAGCACCUGUGACUUGUUAUGCAUUUUGAAUGAAACAUGAAAGGUAUAUUGUAUGACUGAAAUGUAAGUUAUUAAAAAAAGUGAAACAAUUUGCUGUUUUUAAUGUAUGA
Molecule: non-coding RNA, 365 nt
Organism: Chelonoidis abingdonii (Abingdon island giant tortoise)
Lineage: Eukaryota; Metazoa; Chordata; Testudines; Testudinidae
Source: RefSeq, a predicted model, not a curated record